AUCGCUUCUCGGCCUUUUGGCUAAGAUCAAGUGUAAUCAGCAUUGUAUUGAAUCUAUAUAGCAGUUUUGGUAGUAUGGCCAUGUUCACUAUGUUGAUUCUUCCUACCCAGGAGCAGGGGAUAUCUUUCCAUUCUCUUAUACCUUUCCAAA
Molecule: small nuclear RNA, 150 nt
Filed under: Fukomys damarensis (Damara mole-rat)
Lineage: Eukaryota; Metazoa; Chordata; Mammalia; Rodentia; Bathyergidae
Description: U2 spliceosomal RNA
Rfam family: U2 spliceosomal RNA
About the family: U2 is a small nuclear RNA (snRNA) component of the spliceosome (involved in pre-mRNA splicing). Complementary binding between U2 snRNA (in an area lying towards the 5' end but 3' to hairpin I) and the branchpoint sequence (BPS) of the intron results the bulging out of an unpaired adenosine, on the BPS, which initiates a nucleophilic attack at the intronic 5' splice site, thus starting the first of two transesterification reactions that mediate splicing.
Source: Rfam by way of RNAcentral